GGUGGCUCAGUGGUAGAGCGCUUGCUUUGCAUGCAUAAGGCCCUGGGUUCGAUUCCUCAGCACCA
Dipodomys ordii (Ord's kangaroo rat) is the source of this 65-nucleotide non-coding RNA. The record is from Rfam. Lineage: Eukaryota; Metazoa; Chordata; Mammalia; Rodentia; Heteromyidae.